UUAUUGUGAUAACAAUCUUUGGACACCUUUUGAAUAGCUGUGCAAUAAUAAGACUGUUCUGAGUGAC
Amblyraja radiata (thorny skate) is the source of this 67-nucleotide small nucleolar RNA. RefSeq annotates it as small nucleolar RNA SNORD58. The record is from RefSeq and is a predicted model, not a curated record. The transcript has a single exon. Lineage: Eukaryota; Metazoa; Chordata; Chondrichthyes; Rajiformes; Rajidae.